UGGGGAAUUUUGGACAAUGGGCGAAAGCCUGAUCCAGCAAUGCCGCGUGUGUGAAGAAGGCCUUCGGGUUGUAAAGCACUUUUGUCCGGAAAGAAAUCCUUGGCUCUAAUACAGUCGGGGGAUGACGGUACCGGAAGAAUAAGCACCGGCUAACUACGUGCCAGCAGCCGCGGUAAUACGUAGGGUGCAAGCGUUAAUCGGAAUUACUGGGCGUAAAGCGUGCGCAGGCGGUUUGCUAAGACCGAUGUGAAAUCCCCGGGCUCAACCUGGGAACUGCAUUGGUGACUGGCAGGCUAGAGUAUGGCAGAGGGGGGUAGAAUUCCACGUGUAGCAGUGAAAUGCGUAGAGAUGUGGAGGAAUACCGAUGGCGAAGGCAGCCCCCUGGGCCAAUACUGACGCUCAUGCACGAAAGCGUGGGGAGCAAACAGGAUUAGAUACCCUGGUAGUCCACGCCCUAAACGAUGUCAACUAGUUGUUGGGGAUUCAUUUCCUUAGUAACGUAGCUAACGCGUGAAGUUGACCGCCUGGGGAGUACGUCGCAAGAUUAAAACUUAAAUGAAUUGACGGGGUCAU
Molecule: ribosomal RNA, 573 nt
Filed under: uncultured bacterium
Lineage: Bacteria
Description: partial 16S ribosomal RNA
Rfam family: Bacterial small subunit ribosomal RNA
Source: RNAcentral